CCUACGUGAGACAGCAGUGAGGAAUAUUGGUCAAUGGGCGCGAGCCUGAACCAGCCAAGUAGCGUGAAGGAUGACUGCCCUACGGGUUGUAAACUUCUUUUAUAAAGGAAUAAAGUGAGACACGUGUGCCUUUUUGUAUGUACUUUAUGAAUAAGGAUCGGCUAACUCCGUGCCAGCAGCCGCGGUAAUACGGAGGAUCCGAGCGUUAUCCGGAUUUAUUGGGUUUAAAGGGAGCGUAGAUGGGUUGUUAAGUCAGUUGUGAAAGUUUGCGGCUCAACCGUAAAAUUGCAAUUGAUACUGGCAGUCUUGAGGACAGUUGAGGUAGGCGGAAUUCGUGGUGUAGCGGUGAAAUGCUUAGAUAUCACGAAGAACUCCGAUUGCGAAGGCAGCUUACUAAACUGCCACUGACAUUGAUGCUCGAAAGUGUGGGUAUCAAACAGGAUUAGAUAACCCAGUAGUC
RNAcentral lists this ribosomal RNA (460 nucleotides) under uncultured bacterium. Its description in RNAcentral is "partial 16S ribosomal RNA". It matches the Rfam family "Bacterial small subunit ribosomal RNA", at positions 338 to 795 of the family's 1533-position model. The record is from RNAcentral.